GACGAACGCUGGCGGCGUGCUUAACACAUGCAAGUCGAACGGAAAGGCCCUGCUUUUGUGGGGUGCUCGAGUGGCGAACGGGUGAGUAACACGUGAGUAACCUGCCCUUGACUUUGGGAUAACUUCAGGAAACUGGGGCUAAUACCGGAUAGGAGCUCCUGCUGCAUGGUGGGGGUUGGAAAGUUUCGGCGGUUGGGGAUGGACUCGCGGCUUAUCAGCUUGUUGGUGGGGUAGUGGCUUACCAAGGCUUUGACGGGUAGCCGGCCUGAGAGGGUGACCGGCCACAUUGGGACUGAGAUACGGCCCAGACUCCUACGGGAGGCAGCAGUGGGGAAUAUUGCACAAUGGGCGGAAGCCUGAUGCAGCAACGCCGCGUGCGGGAUGACGGCCUUCGGGUUGUAAACCGCUUUCGCCUGUGACGAAGCGUGAGUGACGGUAAUGGGUAAAGAAGCACCGGCUAACUACGUGCCAGCAGCCGCGGUGAUACGUAGGGUGCGAGCGUUGUCCGGAUUUAUUGGGCGUAAAGGGCUCGUAGGUGGUUGAUCGCGUCGGAAGUGUAAUCUUGGGGCUUAACCCUGAGCGUGCUUUCGAUACGGGUUGACUUGAGGAAGGUAGGGGAGAAUGGAAUUCCUGGUGGAGCGGUGGAAUGCGCAGAUAUCAGGAGGAACACCAGUGGCGAAGGCGGUUCUCUGGGCCUUUCCUGACGCUGAGGAGCGAAAGCGUGGGGAGCGAACAGGCUUAGAUACCCUGGUAGUCCACGCUGUAAACGGUGGGUACUAGGUGUGGGGUCCAUUCCACGGGUUCCGUGCCGUAGCUAACGCUUUAAGUACCCCGCCUGGGGAGUACGGCCGCAAGGCUAAAACUCAAAGGAAUUGACGGGGCCCCGCACAAGCGGCGGAGCAUGCGGAUUAAUUCGAUGCAACGCGUAGAACCUUACCUGGGUUUGACAUGGAUCGGGAGUGCUCAGAGAUGGGUGUGCCUCUUUUGGGGUCGGUUCACAGGUGGUGCAUGGCUGUCGUCAGCUCGUGUCGUGAGAUGUUGGGUUAAGUCCCGCAACGAGCGCAACCCUUGUUCACUGUUGCCAGCACGUUAUGGUGGGGACUCAGUGGAGACCGCCGGGGUCAACUCGGGGGAAGGUGGGGAUGACGUCAAGUCAUCAUGCCCCUUAUGUCCAGGGCUUCACGCAUGCUACAAUGGCUGGUACAGAGAGUGGCGAGCCUGUGAGGGUGAGCGAAUCUCGGAAAGCCGGUCUCAGUUCGGAUUGGGGUCUGCAACCCGACCUCAUGAAGUCGGAGUCGCUAGUAAUCGCAGAUCAGCAACGCUGCGGUGAAUACGUUCCCGGG
RNAcentral lists this ribosomal RNA (1343 nucleotides) under uncultured bacterium. RNAcentral's name for it is "16S ribosomal RNA". It matches the Rfam family "Bacterial small subunit ribosomal RNA", at positions 28 to 1378 of the family's 1533-position model. The record is from RNAcentral.